This 77-nucleotide transfer RNA is filed under the name bacterium. RNAcentral describes it as "tRNA-Pro". It matches the Rfam family "tRNA". From Rfam's summary of the family: Transfer RNA (tRNA) molecules are approximately 80 nucleotides in length. Their secondary structure includes four short double-helical elements and three loops (D, anti-codon, and T loops). The record is from RNAcentral.
CGGGCUGUAGUGUACCGGUAACACGCUUGCAUGGGGUGCAAGAGAUUUAGAGGGUUCGACUCCCUCCAGCCCGACCA